AUUGAACGCUGGCGGCAUGCUUUACACAUGCAAGUCGAACGGCAGCGCGGGCUUCGGCCUGGCGGCGAGUUGCGAACGGGUGAGUAAGUCAUCGGAACGUGCCCAGUAGUUGGGAAUAGCCCGGCUAAAGCCGGAUUAAUACCGCAUACGACCUUAUGUUGAAAGCGGUGGACCGAAAGUCCUCGCCCGAUUUGAUGUGCCGAUGUCGGAUUAGCUAGUUGGUUGGGUAAAGGCUUACCAAGGCGACGAUCCGUAGCUGGUCUGAGAGGCCGACCAGCCACACUGGGACUGAGACACGGCCCAGACUCCUACGGGAGGCAGCAGUGGGGAAUUUUGGACAAUGGGCGCAAGCCUGAUGCAGCCAUGCCGCGUGAGGGAAGAAGGCCUUCGGGUUGUAAAACGCUUUUGUUAGGGAAGAAAACCUCUGGGAUAAUACCCCGGGGGGAUGACGGUACCGGAAGAAUAAGCACCGGCUAACUACGUG
RNAcentral lists this ribosomal RNA (484 nucleotides) under uncultured bacterium. RNAcentral describes it as "partial 16S ribosomal RNA". It matches the Rfam family "Bacterial small subunit ribosomal RNA", at positions 30 to 507 of the family's 1533-position model. The record is from RNAcentral.